Molecule: small nuclear RNA, 111 nt
Filed under: Jaculus jaculus (lesser Egyptian jerboa)
Lineage: Eukaryota; Metazoa; Chordata; Mammalia; Rodentia; Dipodidae
Source: RNAcentral
AUGGUAGCUUCAGCAGCACAUAUACUAAAAUUAGAACAAUACAGAAAAAAAUAUAUAUAUAAUGGCUCCUGCACAAGGAUUACAUGGAACUUUGCAGUGUUCCAUAUUUUU